UCUCUGCCUAUAUUCUCUUUAAUAUUGCAUUGUAUUUAGUAUUAUAUUGUAUUUACUAUUUACUCCUUGUAUCUAGUCCUUGUAUUUAGCCGCAGAGUAUCACUGGGAGGCGUAUUGGUGUUCGGGUGACUCACGGUGGAGAUUGGUUGCAUGGGCGAGGUGAUAUUUUCUUCCGGGGUGUUUUAUUUGCUUACUUUUACCGUUUAGGCCGUGGGAUCUGCCAUUAGGGUAGGGACUAGAUGCUGUCGAGCUGACCGGACAUAUGCAGGGAGGUCCGUGAGGGCUUGGAAGGCAGUGAUGGGGGUGAAGGUGUCGCCGCCCAGGAGGUCCCCAAGAUUUGGCCUCUGAAUGUGGAGUCUGGUCAGGGAUGCUUUGAGGUUGAUGCGGAGGGAGUAGAAUCUUGGGCAGUGAAGCAGGAAGUGUUCUGGUGUGUGGGGCACCAUGGGCACUGUGGGUCCUGGGUCAUGUUCAGUCAGUACGGGUGUGUCCAGUCCUCAGGUGGGUGAUGGCUGUGUCCAGGGAGAGGGGGGUAUGUGAUGUUCAAGGGUGAUCUAUUAGGUCAGCUGUCAGUCUUGUGCUCCAGUGUCUGUUGAAUGUGUCUUGGGUGAGUCAGUAGGUCACUGUGGCCUGUCUGUUGGCUGGGGAUGUGAGUGUGCCAGGUUGGCUUCUUGAUCUUGUGCUAUCUGGAGAUAAAUGUAUAAAAUAUGAAGUUGAAUAAAUUGAUGCAAAAUUAUGCAUCAGGAGUGCCAUUAAGCCAGAUACAAGUUUUAAAUACAUAUAUGAAAUAUUAUCCACAUAAAUAAUAAUGCUAGUUUUAUCUUACCCUCAUAAAGUGUAAUUAAUUCAUGAGCAAUUCAGAUUUUUUCCUUGCAACUAAAUUCUGAGAUAGCUUCAGCUUCUGGGAGGAUGCUGAUUGGAGAUUGAUUAAUCUCAGCUAAAUUUUGUGGCACAUUGUCAUAUUACAUAAUGGCUGCUGGCUUAGUAGGGUAUUAUUUCUAAAUCUAUUCCCAAUAUCAUUAAAAAACUUUUCAAUUUUUAUGGAAAUACAAAAUCUGACUAGUGUCUACUCUGAAUUCAUGACAAGGAGUAGCUAAAGCAUAGAAGAUCAUUCUUUCCUAAAUGCAUACUGAAUAGCUGCAGUUUCCUGCAGAAGCUUCAGUUUGUCCAAUGAUAGUCUGUUAUUUGCCAUUGAAGCUCAGGUUCAGCACAUUUAAGUGGGCUGUCAUGUCUGUUAGAAAUGUGUGAGAGAAAGGAAAGUCUUCAUCUUGCAGCUGAGUUUGGUUUAUCUUUAUAUUGCUCAGCUGUUCAUUUUGAAGAAAUAAAAGGAUGUCCUUAAGAGCAAAGAAAUACUGGAGAAAUUUUCCAUCUUUCAGCCUCACAAUACUGAUGUGCAUGGGCAGUGGUAGAUCAUUGAAUUCUGCAUUCAGUUCACAGAAAAAUUCCCAUUUCUAUGACCUAUUAUUGCUUUUGAUUAAUUAACUACGCUGGCAAUCAUGACAUCACUUGUCUGUAAUAUCUUACCAUAUUCACACCUAAACCUGGCAAGUCAUCUAAUCCUGCUGCUCUGGUUCAAAAUACAAGGAUAUUACUCAAUGAUACAUUACAAGAGAGAAAUUUAUUAUUUCAUAUAUUGUCCCAUGGUAUAUUUUUUUAAUUGUUAUAAGAUUUCACCUCUUUUUUAAGUUUUUUUUUAUUUAGUUUCUCUCUGAAAUACAUGAAUGAAAGAGUUGUAGACAACCAGUAACAUGUAGAUAAAUAUUUCCACCCCUAAGUUGGUUGAUAAGAGCAGUGUCUAUUGGUAUCAUAUCAUGAUAAGAUAACGGGGCUUGCUUAUCAGGUGUGACUGUUUCCUGACUAGGGUGGUGUGUGCACAGAGUCUGUCCAGAUAUUCCAGUUGACUUUGUCAUUAAUUAAUUGAAGUGUGCAUUGGCAAGGCUGAGCAGAGUGAGCAAACCAAAGGACUCCUGACCAUCACUUCAUCUCGCCAGUCCUCCAGGUGUAAACAAUGGCGUCUGGAGUAACCGUUGCAGAUGGCAUCCAAAAGGCCUACUCUGACAUUAAGACCGGGAAGAAGUAUAGGUAUAUGAUUUUUUAUAUCAAAGAUGAAAAAGAGAUUGAUAUUGAGAAAUAUGGUGAAAGGGAUGAGACCUAUGAUGAUUUCCUAAGCUGCCUGAGUAGCCUAGGACCUGAUAAGUGCCGCUAUGGCCUCUAUGACUUUGAGUAUGAGCGCUCCUUCCAAGGAACUUCAGAGUCCAAGAUGAAUAAGCUCAUCCUUAUGUCUUGGUGCCCUGAUACUGCUAAGAUCAAGACCAAGAUGCUCUACUCCACCAGCUUCAAUGCACUGAAACAGGCCCUAGAAGGCAUUCAGAAGUACAUUCAGGCAACUGACAUGUCAGAAGCAUCCUAUGAAAGUGUCUUGGAGAAAUGUACUGCAUCAGACCGUGCUUAAGUCUACCAUUAGAGAGUACUUUUAUAUAACUAUACAAUGGCACUAAACAUCCAGUUAGGCGAGGCCUCUGACCGCCCCAACUGCACAACCUGCUGAACUCGUUUUUGCAGGUAUCUCAUGUUUUAUAAUUAAGUAUUCACAUAGCUUUUGGAUUGUUUAAACCAAAUAGGCCUCAGACUUUUGAUGUCAUCGUUGUUGGCACUGGUCAUGUUAUUAAUUACUUUUGAUUCAUAUAUUAUGCUCGGGACUUUGCUUCACCAUUAUUAUUGUAUGUUAAAAAAAUAAUUUGUGUAGUUAAAAGGUUUCUGCCCCAAAGUGAAUUGCUUCCUUGCUAUUUCUCAUUAAUAUCCUUAGCCACCUUAUGUUUGCAUUUUUGUUAAAAGUCAGGUGACUUAAAAUAUUUCCAUUACUGUACCUUCACAGCUUACAUUAAUGGUAGCUUUGCAUUCCAACAGUGUUGCUAUUAUCAACACUGAAAAAACUUGACAUUUCAUUAUACAUUCCUCAUUCAGUUGCAUAAGCAUCUGUAAUAGAGGCACUGAUGUGGCCCUCUGAAAUUAACUAUGACCUUGAUCCAUUUUGUCAUGUAAGUAGACUAGAAAUAUAACCUCAGUUUAAAAUUGAUUGUUAUAUUCUGUAAUCAAAUUAGAAAUGUAUAAUAUUGUGUACCUAAUAAUUAUUUUCUGGUUGAAUUGUAAUUUUUAUAUAUUUUUUUUAUGAAGUUAGAUACUAUUAGCUUUUACAAAUAUAUUUGUUCAAGUUAGCUACUGUUAGAUCUUAAUAAUGUAUUUGCUUGGAUAUUAUUUUACUUGAACACUACAUACUAAAUUUACAUAAUCAAUGUAAGAGCAAUCAGGUAUAAUAAAAUGAUGUAUCUUUA
Molecule: long non-coding RNA, 3329 nt
Organism: Eriocheir sinensis (Chinese mitten crab)
Lineage: Eukaryota; Metazoa; Arthropoda; Malacostraca; Decapoda; Varunidae
Exons: 2
Source: RefSeq, a predicted model, not a curated record